GGGCUCGUAGCUCAAUUGGCUAGAGCGCUGCUUUUGCAUAGCAGAGGUAGCGGGUUCAAUUCCCGCCGAGUCCACCA
RNAcentral lists this transfer RNA (77 nucleotides) under bacterium. RNAcentral describes it as "tRNA-Ala". It matches the Rfam family "tRNA". Rfam says of the family: Transfer RNA (tRNA) molecules are approximately 80 nucleotides in length. Their secondary structure includes four short double-helical elements and three loops (D, anti-codon, and T loops). The record is from RNAcentral. RNAcentral also lists the same sequence under 1 other name.